Molecule: ribosomal RNA, 253 nt
Filed under: uncultured bacterium
Lineage: Bacteria
Description: partial 16S ribosomal RNA
Rfam family: Bacterial small subunit ribosomal RNA
Source: RNAcentral
UACGAAGGGGGCUAGCGUUGCUCGGAAUCACUGGGCGUAAAGCGCACGUAGGCGGCUUUCUAAGUCAGGGGUGAAAUCCUGGAGCUCAACUCCAGAACUGCCUUUGAUACUGGGAAGCUCGAGUCCGGAAGAGGUGAGUGGAACUGCGAGUGUAGAGGUGAAAUUCGUAGAUAUUCGCAAGAACACCAGUGGCGAAGGCGGCUCGCUGGGACGGUACUGACGCUAAGGCGCGAAAGCGUGGGGAGCGAACAGG